CGCAGGGUGCGAGCGUUAAUCGGAAUUACUGGGCGUAAAGCGUGCGCAGGCGGUUUUGUAAGACAGAUGUGAAAUCCCCGGGCUCAACCUGGGACCUGCAUUUGUGACUGCAAGGCUAGAGUACGGUAGAGGGGGAUGGAAUUCCGCGUGUAGCAGUGAAAUGCGUAGAUAUGCGGAGGAACACCGAUGGCGAAGGCAAUCCCCUGGACCUGUACUGACGCUCAUGCACGAAAGCGUGGGGAGCAAACAGGAUUAGAUACCCUGGUAGUCCACGCCCUAAACGAUGUCAACUGGUUGUUGGGUCUUUACUGACUCAGUAACGAAGCUAACGCGUGAAGUUGACCGCCUGGGGAGUACGGCCGCAAGGUUG
This 370-nucleotide ribosomal RNA is filed under the name uncultured organism. RNAcentral's name for it is "bacterial SSU rRNA". It matches the Rfam family "Bacterial small subunit ribosomal RNA", at positions 526 to 896 of the family's 1533-position model. The record is from RNAcentral.